AUAAGUAUUAGGUUGUUUUUCACUUUCGCUAUUCAGGACUUUUUUGGUUCACCUACGAUUAUAAAAUCGAAAUAAAAUUCAUUCAUUUUAAUAGUUGUUGUUUAUUUUACAUAGAUUAGAGUUCGAUUUUCAUUCCAUUUUGGAAUAGAAAUGAUCAAAUCUAACUUUGAAUUUUGAGUUGGCCUAUUCUAUAGUAAACCACUGGAACCCUCUCCCACAAGUACCUCCUCUUCCUUCAUCACUCUUUUCUUUCUAAAUCAAAAUCUAGACGUCACAUACACGGAGAAGAGAUACAGAACACGAUACAAUUCGAACAUGGCGAUUCAAUAGUUUCCAAAAUUAGGAUACGGAUAUAGAGAUAAUAUGAAUAUCGCUAAUAAACUAUAAAAUUAUUAAUAUAAAUAUAUAUAUAUUAUAUUUAAAAUAUUAAUUUUACUAAAAUACUUUUAUAUUUCUCGUAUGAAUUAAAGUUAAUAACAUUCUCAUUGAUAAUUUAUACAAUUUUAGAAAAGAAAUUCUUUACUAUACAUAAUUUAUUUAUAUUGUUCAAAAAAAUUUUAUAUCCAUUUAUUAAAAAUUUAAAAUGUUUAUUAUCUUACAUUGUAUAUGCAUAAAAAAGUAAUAUAUAUAUAUAACAUGGUGCUUGUAAAAGCACCAAGUACUUGGUGCUUUUAAAUUUUUUACCGUUAGAUCUACAUUUUUUAUCAUUUUCAACCGUUAGGUUAUACUAUUCAACCAACCACAUACUCAACCCUAGAGAGUCCACAUCAUCCUAACCGCACAUCUCUUAAUCUAAUGGCCAAAAAUCUACAAGCACCAAUAACUUGAUACUUUUAAAUACUAAAAUAAGUCCGGAUAUUACAUUAUUCCAUAUCUCAAUAUAUAUCCAAUUUGUAACGCAAAAAAUAUAUAAAAGUUUAGAUAAAACGAUAUCUCCUGUAUUGCUAGUACUAUCAAAAUUGUGCAUGAUAGUAAUUUAUAUGAUUUUUAUUACAUUACUAAUCAAUAACUUUAUCUGCAAAUUUAUUUUUAUAAAAUUUCAUAAUUGAAUUCAAUAAUUAUCCAAAUAGCUUGACCAAUUUGAAAUAAUGAUAAAGUGCAGAGAGAUAAUUGAUAUAUUUUUUUUAUAAAGAAAAGUAAUUGAGAUAAGCACUAAAGUGUUAAGAAGACUUUUUAUAAUUUAGCUUAAAUGGAAAGGCAGGUGUUCUUUGGAAUAUACCUGACCAGUUAGCAGGUAUAUAUAUAGGGUAGAAUUAAUUAUGGCUAGAUGUUAGGCUGAUCACAUUAGGGUUAGCAAUUUAGCCCGUUAUUCGCGAGCUAGCCCAUGUUCGGCUCGAAAUAAUCUCGAGAUUGAUCGCUCAUUUUAAUAAACGAGCUAAAGAAGAGCUGAAAAUCUUAAUGAGCUCGCUCGUGUUCGUCUCUCUCUCUCCCCCUCUCUCUCUAUGUAUAUAUAUUUGGAUGAUAGGCCAACCCAAAUGUACAAAAACCUAUAUUUUAUAAAUUUUAAUUAUUAGAUUAAAAUUCUAAUUUUCUUUCAAACUUUUCACCCAAUAGUAGAUCUGACGAUCUAGUUAAUUUGCUGUUGUGAGCCGGUUCAUGUUCGGCUCGUUAAUAAACAAGCAGAACACGAGCUGAAUUUUUCAGCUCGAUAUUUUACCAAGUCAACUCGUGUUCGGCAUUGUUUGAUAAACGAACGAACACAAGCCGGCCCAACUCACUCGUAUUCAGCUCGUUGACUGUCCUAGUUAACAUAUUAAAGAUCUUCUACUAAUUAUCUUCUGCUCAGGCACAAUUAUUAAGUCUAACCUAUCCAACAUUAUAUACCGCAAUAUCUAAUCACAGCUAUUAAAUAUAGAACUAUUCCCAAGCCUUUGGAAUGUCACAAUAAUGAUAGGUAUUUAGUCAAAUAUGCACUAAUGAAUAAUGUGGGGUUUAGUUCAUCCUAUAAUUAUCCAAAACAUAAUUGGCCCCACUUUAGGUUGUAAUGCUAUUUUUUAGGAGAAAUAUUAUAUCAAAGUACUACUUAUUUAUAGAUUUGUUCUACAGCAAAAUUAGAAAUAUUGAAGUAAAAUUAUGAUGCUGAGAUUUGAAAUAUUAUUAUUAUUAUUAUUAUUAUUAUUAUUAUUAUUAUUUUACUUUCUGCUUAAAAACUACAUUUUGUACCAAAUAAUCAGAGGGGGAUAAUAUCUAAUAUAUCCUUCAAAACUUCAAAAUUUUUUUACUUAUCUCGGGAGUACUAAAAUAACCUUAUUGAUUUUAAAAAUUUCUGCAAAUAUUUCUAUUUUUUCUACGGUUUACUAAUGAGAUUGAAUUUUAAAAAAAUAUUUUGAUAAUUUCAGAAUAAAUUUAAAAAUUUUAAAUAGUAGUAAGGAAGAUGUAGUAUCUCUCGAGUUUUGCAGGUGUGAGAUCUCAGCAUCUGAGACUUGUCGACACAUCUGGAGAGUGUCGGAACAAGUCUAAGUCGUUUUGGCACAAAAUAGACGCAAAACGGACUCAGUGUGAUGCCAGAGCAGAAUUUUGGCACUGAAAUCUGUAAAUUACAGAUUGUCAGCAUUGAGUACCGGUACCCCUGUAUAGAAUUUUUUAUUGCUGUUCUUGGGUUGCGAAGGCUGAUACGGUGUACUGGUACGACAUCGGUUUGCUAUCAAUACUCCAGGGUAGGUGAGGGGCCUUUUGGUCUUUUGAUGCACCGUUCAAACCAAGGCUUCCUCAGCCUUUUUAUACGUACAGAGAGCAUGGAGGAGGGGUUUGGCUGGCUGUUUCCUCUCUUUCUCUAGAUUUUGAUCGUGGUGGAGGUGGUGUUCGUGGCUCGAGCUCGGUUCGACGUCGACGGUUGUGCCGGGGAGUCGUUCGAGCGUACGAGUGUCGUGGUAGCACCGUUGGAGGCCGGGCGAGCACGUGUUUCUUCUUCUUCCGAGUUCUCGCCGUCGUGGAUUAGCGUUUCGAGGUGGGUUGAUGUUACCGGAAUUUUCAAAUUUCCUCCUAAGCCUAAUUGUUGUCGGCAUGUGUUUGGCUUCGUAGAGCAUGUUUAGUAGCUCGAUUCGUCGAUUUGCAUUGUUCUUAAAUGAAAUCUGAAUUGGAGCUUAGAGUGCUAGUUUUAUUAUACAUGUUGAACUUGGAUUUGACUUAGGAGAAAACUAUAGGUUCUACAUUGUCAUUUUUUAAAAACUAACAGAUUUAGCUUUAGGAGCUGUAGUUAGUUUGUAUCGCCGCAAUUUGUACGCGGUGGAUAUAAAGAAUUAUGUAGAAUGAAAUUACGCUCUUGCUGGGGUGCCGAAUUUAUUUUUACAGUAGUGUAUAUACUGUUCCGGGCUGUCAGGUGCCGUCGCGGUUGAUGGUUGAUCUAGAUUUCAGUAUUUUUCAUCAGAUUGUGCCGAGGGCACGCGAGUUAUGGUUGUUAGACCAGUUAGACCCUUCUUCUUUGACUAUAGCCUGUGAGAGCCUGAUUGAGCUCAGGAGAGAUACGCUUGCAUACUCGGUUGGGUAGCGCCCACGAGUGCCACUCCGGAGUCGGGCUUUGUGCUUUUGCGUUGUUGUCGGUUUGUCUUGUUUGGACUUGCUCUCCAUUGACGACCCAGUGUGUUGAUAGUAGUGUAGCUUCGACAGGCGGGACGGGUGUGUUCACAGUCCCUAAUGAGAUUGGGUCAGUGAUUGCAUUUUCUACAGAUAGUUAAUAUUGGAUCAUGAUAGUAUAGUAGCAUAUAGUUGUAGAAUUGUUUCAGCUUUCUUUACUAUCCUUGAGCAUACUUCUGUAGAGUUACUGGGUGAGCCGUUGAAGUCGGUAGCGGUACCCACUGAGGACUAUUUCGUUUUGCAGUAGUUCUCACACCCAGUUGUUGAACUCUUUUUGCAGAGUCUUCUUCUUCGGCUGCUGCUAUUGCGGAUACAGAUCAUGAAAAGGGAGUCGCGAGUUAGAUCCCUUCCCGUUUUGUUGCUGAUCUAGAGAUAUACCAGCUACAGGUAGUGUUGGUUUUUGGUUCUUGUACAUACUGAUAUUAGAUCCUCGCUGGAGCAAGUGUUAUGUAUUUGGAGACUAUGUAUGUAUAGAGAACCUGAUGUUAUUUAUACAUGUUUCAGUUUAGCAGAUCUAUACUACUAGUUGUAGUUUUGUAUGAUUACAGGUACAGAUACAGCUAUCGCUUCGUAUAUAGGGAAAAUUUCUUUGUAUAUGGCUGAUUUAUCGGCCUGCCCGGGGAAACGAAUAAUCCGGAAUAUGACAGAAGAAAUAAGCAAAAGCCUCUAAUCUGAGAUACCCUGCAAUUGUUAAAACAGAAGUCAUAUCAAAUUUAAAUAAGACGAUUCCACAUUAUUAAGUGUAGAAAAAAAAAUAUUUUUUUUCUAUGUUCUUUCUUAAGCUUAAAGGUAUAGAAAAUAUACAUAAAUAGAAAAGAAAGAUAGGAGUCUAUUUUUUAAUCCAACUAUAUUAAAACUUUGGGUUUUAAUUAAAUUAAAGCAAGAUCAUCNUAUAUAUAUAUAUAUAUAUAUAUAUAUAUAUAUAUAUAUAUAUAUAUAUAUAUAUAUAUAUAUAUAUAUAUAUAUAUAUAUAUAUAUAUAUAUAAUGAGAUAUGCCAUAAAUUCGUGUCAAAUGCACGUUGACGUGUUCCCAUCGGACACGAGUGUGACACGAACACCCACAUGUCCGACAUGAACAUACAAGGUUUAUAGAAGUACCCAUAAUACAUAAACAAAAAUUCUCUAUCCAAACCCUAGAUGUCUAUCAUGAUAUCUAUUCUAAUAAGGAAUCAAAUAUUUUUAGAUGAUUCGUCAUUCCAUUUUUCAUUCUAAUAUAAUCCGAUUCCAUCUCCUAUUUCUAUUUCAAUAAUAAACCAAACAUGCCCUUAGAACUAUCUUAGGCUUUUCCUUUGCUUGGAAGAUCGAAUGCAAGAUGGAGUAAUGAAAGUGCAAGAUGUGGCAAGAUGGUAUUAAAUUGAAGGCUAACGUCCGGUCUCAAUUACUCUCCUGUAUUAAAAAUUAUAUCAAUUAUCACUUUGCACUUUGUCAUCAUCUCAAAUAGAUUCAAAAAUUAUAAAGAGUAGCAAGUUAGGCAGCAAAACUUUACUAAAAUAAGUCGGGAUAUUACAUUAUUCCAUAUCUCAAUAAUCCAAUUUGUAACGCAAAAAAUAUAUAAAAGUUUAGAUAAAACGAUAUCUCCUGUAUUGCUAGUACUAUCAAAACUGUGCAUGAUAGUAAUUUUUAUGAUUUUUAUUACAUUACUAAUCAAUAAUUUUGUCUGUAAAUUUAUUUUUAUAUAAUUUUAUAGUUGAAAAUUCAACAAUUAUCUAAAUAGCUUGACCAAUUUGAAAUAAUGAUAAAGUGCAGAGAGAUAAUUGAUGUAAUAUUUUAUGAAGAAAAGUAAUUGAGAUAAGCACUAAAGUGCAAGAAGACAUUUUAUAAUUUAGCUUAAAUGGAAAGGCAGGUGUUCUUUGGAAUAUACCUGAUCAGUUAGCAGGUAUGUAUAUAGGGUAGAAUUAAUUAUGGCUAGAUGUUAGGCUGAUCACAUUAGGGUUGGCAAUUUAGCCCGUUAUUCGCGAGCUAGCCCAUGUUCGGCUCGAAAUAAUCUCGAGAUUGAUCGCUCAUUUUAAUAAACGAGCUAAAGAAGAGCUGAAAAUCUUAAUGAGCUCGCUCGUGUUCGUCUCUCUCUCUCUCUCUCUCCCCCUCUCUCUCUAUGUAUAUAUAUUUGGAUGAUAGGCCAACCCAAAUGUACCAAAACCUAUAUUUUAUAAAUUUUAAUCAUUAUAUUAAAAUUCUAAUUUUCUUUCAACUUUUCACCCAAUAGUAGAUCUGAUGAUCUAGUUAAUUUGCUGUUGUGAGCUGGUUCAUGUUCAGCUUGUUAAUAAACAAGCAGAACACGAGCUGAAUUUUUCAGCUCGAUAUUUUACCAAGUCAACUCGUGUUCGGCAUUGUUUGAUAAACGAACGAACACAAGCCGGCCCAACUCACUCGUAUUCAGCUCGUUGACUGUCCUAGUUAACAUAUUAAAGAUCUUCUACUAAUUAUCUUCUGCUCAGGCACAAUUAUUAAGUCUAACCUAUCCAACAUUAUAUACCCCCAUAUCUAAUCACAGCUAUUAAAUAUAGAACUAUUCUCAAGCCUUUGGAAUGUCACAAUAAUGAUAGGUAUUUAGUCAAAUGUGCACUAAUGAAUAAUGUGGGGUUUAGUUCAUCCUAUAAUUAUCCAAAACAUAAUUGGCCCCACUUUAGGUUGUAAUGCUAUUUUUUAGGAGAAAUAUUAUAUCAAAGUACUACUUAUUUAUAGAUUUGUUCUACAGCAAAAUUAGAAAUAUUGAAGUAAAAUUAUGAUGCUGAGAUUUGAAAUAUUAUUAUUAUUAUUAUUAUUUUACUUUCGGCUUAAAAACUACAUUUUGUACCAAAUAAUCAGAGGGGGAUAAUAUCAAAUAUAUCCUUCAAAACUUCAAAAUUUUUUUAUUUAUCUUGGGAGUACUAAAAUAACCUUAUUGAUUUUAAAAAAUUUCUGCAAAUAUUUCUAUUUUUUCUACUGUUUACUGAUGAGAUUGAAUUUUAGAAAAAUAUUUUGAUAAUUUCAGAAUAAAUUUAAAAAUUUUAAAUAGUAGUAAGGAAGAUGUAGUAUCCCUGGAGUUUUGCAGGUGUGAGAUCUCAGCAUCUGAGGCUUGUCGACACAUCUGGAGAGUGUCGGAACAAGUCUGAGUCGUUUUGGCGCAAAAUAGACCCAAAACGGACUCAGUGUGAUGCCAGAGCAGAAUUUUGACACUGAAAUCUGUAAAUUACAGAUUGUCAGCAUUGAGUACCGGUACCCCGGUAUAGAAUUUCUGAUUGCUGUUCUUAGGUUGCGAAGGCUGAUACGGGGUACCGGUACGACAUCGGUUUGGUAUCAGUACUCCAGGGUAGGUAAGAGGCAUUUUGGUCUUUUGAUGCACCGUUCAAACCAAGGCUUCCUCAGCCUUUUUAUAUGUACAGAGAGCAUGGAGGAGGGGUUUGGCUGGCUGUUUCCUCUCUCUCUCUCUAGAUUUUGAUCGUGGUGGAGGUGGUGUUCGUAACUCGAGCUCGGUUCGACGUUGACGGUUGUGCCGGGGAGUCGUUCGAGCGUACGUGUGUCGUGGUAGCACCGUUGGAGGCCGGGCGAGCGCAUGUUUCUUCUUCUUCCGAGUUCUCGCUGUCGUGGAUUAGCGUUUCGAGGUGGGUUGAUGUGACCGGAAUUUUUAAAUUUCCUCCUAAGCCUAAUUGUUGUCAGUAUGUGUUUGGCUUCGUAGAGCAUGUUUAGUAGCUCGAUUCGUCGAUUUGCAUUGUUCUUAAAUGAAAUCUGAAUUGGAGCUUAGAGUGCUAGUUUUAUUAUACAUGUUGGAUUUGGAUUUGACUUAGGAGAAAACUAUAGGUUCUACAUUGUCAUUUUCUAAAAACUAACAGAUUUAGCUUUAGGAGCUGUAAUUAGUUUGUAUCGCCGCAGUUUGUACGUGGUGGAUAUAAAAAAUUAUGUAGAAUGAAAUUACGCUCGUGCUGGGGUGCCGAGUUUAUUUUUACAGUAGUGUAUAGACUGUUCCGGGUUGUAGGGUGCCGUCGCGGUUGACGGUUGAUCCAGAUUUUAGUAUUUUGCAUCAGAUUGUGCCGAGGGCACGCGAGUUAUGGUUGUCAGACCAGUUAGACCCUUCUGCUUUGACUAUAGCCUGUGAGAGCCUGAUUGAGCUCAGCAGAGAUACGCUUGCAUACUCGGUUGGGUAGCGCCCACGAGUGCCACUCCGGAGUCGGGCUUUGUGCUUUUGCGUUGUUGUCGAUUUUGUUGGCCCAGUGGCCCUAAUCAUCUAUUAGAUUUUGAUGAUAACAAAUAAUCACGAUUAUUGGACUAAUCUCUUUAUCUUGAGUCUUGUGUUUUAGAUCUCUCUAUCUUCAAAAAGGAUUCAAGAUGGGCAAUAUUCUGGCACCAAGCUUCACCUCUUGAAGCUGUGUCUGCUUCUUUUGUCAAACAGACAAACUCNGGCGGGGACGUAGGCAAAGUGCCGAACCUCGAAACAAAUUGAUCGUGUGUUUUUCGAGUUUGCAUUUCUUUUAUUUGCAUCGGUUUUUUAAUUUGCUUGAUUAUUUGGAUUUUUAUUUUAGAAACCUAAUUCACCCCCCCUCUUAGGUUGCCAUUUUGAUCCUCAGAUUUGUCUUGUUUGGACUUGCUCUCCACUGACGACCCAGCGUGUUGAUAAUAGUGUAGCUUCGACAGGCGGGACGGGUGUGUUCACAGUCCCUAAUGAGAUUGGGUCAGUGAUUGCAUUUUCUACAGAUAGUUAGUAUUGGAUUAUGAUAGUAUAGUAGCAUAUAGCUGUAGAAUUGUUCCAGUUUUCUUUACUAUUCUUGAGCAUACUUCUGUAGAGUUAGUGGGUGAGCCAUUGAGGUCGGUAGCGGUACCCACUGAGGACUAUUUCGUUUUGCAGUAGUUCUCACACCUAGUUGUUGAACUCUUUUUGCAGAGUCUUCUUCUUCGGCUGCUGCUGUUGCGGAUACAGAUCGUGAAAAGGAAGUCGCGAGUUAGAUCCCUUCCCAUUUGCUGCUGAUCUAGAGAUACACCAGCUAUAGGUAGUAUUGGUUUUUAGUUCUUAUACAUACUGAUAUUAGAUCCUCGCUGGAGCAAGUGUUAUGAAUCUGGAGACUAUGUAUGUAUAGAGAACCUGAUGUUAUUUAUACAUGUUUCAGUUUAGCAGAUCUAUACUACUAGUUGUAGUUUUGUAUGAUUACAGGUAUAGGUACAGCUAUCGCUUCGUAUACAGAAAAAAUUUCUUUGUAUAUGGCUGAUUUGUCGGCGUGCCCGGAAAAACGAAUAAUCCGGGAUAUGACAGAAGAAAUAAGCAAAAGCCUCUAAUCUGAGAUACCCUGCAAUUGUUAAAACAGAAGUCAUAUCAAAUUUAAAUAAGACGAUUCCACAUUAUUUAGUGUAGAAAAAAAAAAAAUUUCUAUGUUCUUUCUUAAGCUUAAAGGUAUAGAAAAAUGAGUAGGGCUAGAAUACUUUUACAAGUAUCACCCAAGUGAUACUUGUGUGUUUUUAGCCAUUGGAUCUACUUUUUGAUUACUAAUAGUCCUUGGAUCAAACACUAUUCUACCUACCACCACCUACCACCAUCAUCUCAACCUCACAUCUCUCCAUCCAAGGGCUAAAAACACACAAGUAUCACUUGGAUGAUACUUUUACAAGUAUUCUAGCUCUACUCUAGAAAAAUAUACAUAAAUAGAAAACAAAGAUAGGAGUCUAUUUUUUAAUCCAACUAUAUUAAAACUUUGGGUUUUAAUUAAAUUAAAGCAAGAUCAUCCUUAUCUAGCAAACUUUAUUAUGUUCACAGUAUCCAAGUACAGCAAACUUAGUAAUUAAUUGGUGACACAAUUUGGAAGCAUCCAAACCCUAGGCACAAAACAUUGAUUACUUCAAUAAAUUCACUUUGGUUCCACCACCACUACUGCAUAGUGCAGUUGUUUGGUUCUUAGGAUGAUCCCAGAUUUGUUCGAAAUUGUUAAAUAACAGAAGCUUAAGCAGAUUAAAAAAAUUUGAUAUUUUUGGACUCAAAAUUUUUUGAUAUGUUUAACGAUAUUUUUCACGUUUGGACUCAAAAUUUUUGGAUAUACACAUGAUGUGAACUUAAAUUAAAUGAGAUAAAAUUAAUUAUUUUCAGAACUUGGAGUGACUCGAAUUCGUGCUCUAAUACUAUAUUAAAUAAUGUGAAACAACUGUUAUUUUUUAAAAUUCAACAUUCCUCUGAAACAGUACAGUACAAAUUCAUCUCUUUCUCUCUGGUUCUUCAUUUUUUUUGUAGAAAAAAUUAUUUUUCUUUAUAGUUUAUUUUUUAUAUAUAUAGAGUAGGGCUACUGUGCUCUCAGGAGCACGGAGGCCUCCGUGCUCUUGAGCCGUUUUCGAUGAUGAAAUUUUCGAAUCGACGAUCGGCUCCGUUAGACUUGAUCUAGCAUAUUUGAAGUUUCUAGAAAAUAAUUUUUGCGAUUUUUCGAUAUCAUUUACCUAGCAAUCGAAAAGAUUCAAAAUCUAUAAUUUUUAACGGCUAAAAAUAAAAAUCCUAUAAAAAGUGGUGAUAUAGCACUAAAAUUUUCGAUCAGAAAUAUUGAUUUUGUUGUAGAUAGUAUAAAGAAUUUUGUAUCAAAAUUUCAUCUGAUUUGAAUACUUCUACACCGUUAAACUUAAAAACGGCAGAUAUCAACCAUUAAAAAUUAUUGAUUUUGAAUCCUUUCGAUCACUAGGUAAAUGAUAUCAAAAAAUAGCAAAAAAUAUUUUCUAGAAACUUCAAAUGCGCUAGAUCAAGUCUAACGGAGCCGAUCGUCGAUUCGAAAAUUUCAUCAUCGAAAACAGCCUCACGGUCCCGGUUGUUCCUGGAGAGCAGCAGUCAGCCUGCUAUAAGUAUUAUAUAUAUUAUAAUAUAAUUAUAGAUAUCCGGCUGGAGAUAUCUAUCGAUAGUACCGAAGGAUUUGGUGCUAUCUGAGUUUGUUCCCGCUAGAUUUUAACCCUCAUGAAUUAAUUUUAACAUCCGUUCGCAUUAUUAAACUUAUUCAACCAAACCAUCUGCACUCAACCCUAGGGGGCCCAACAGCAUUCGCUAGACUCACCUAUUUCUCAGAUCUAAGGCGAAAAAAUGCCAAUACACAUAUUGGUGCUUUUUGAUAGUACUCCAGCCCACGUUCAUAGUAUGAGUCCGGUUGGAUCUAAUCGGAUAAGUACCAAGGAUUUGGUGUUAUCGAUUUCCACCGUUAGAUUAACCAUCUGAUUAUUUUUAACCCGUUAGAAGUUAUAUUAUUCAAUCAAAUCAACCAACCACUCGGGUCACUCACCCUAUGGGGUCCGACAACAUCCUAACCGGACCUAUUUCUCAAUCUAAGGCUAAAAAAUCAAUAGCACCAAUAGCUUGGUGCUUUUAUAGUAUGUCCAACCUAGUAUAUAUAUAUUAAAUAUUAUAUAUAAUAUAGAGUGAGGUGCUACUAUGCUAUCGGAAGGCAACGGAGCAUUCCGUGCUUCCAGUCUCGUUUCGAUGUUUGCGACGUUCGAAUCGUCGAUCGCCUCCGUGUAAACUUGAUCUAGAGUAUUGAAGUAGCUAGAAAAUAAGUUUUAUGAUUUUACGAUAUCAUUUGCUAGUGAACAAGGCUCAAAUCAACAGGCUGGAAAUAAAGCUGUACAAAUGUAAUGAAUAUAAAUUAAAAAGUUUAAAUAAAUAAUAUGAGUCUGUUUUUAUAUAGUAUAAUAGAAUUUUCUAUGCAAAUUUCACGUGAUUUGGAAUAUUUCUCAAAAAACCGUUAAACUUGCAAACGGCUCACUACGGGCUAUUAAAUUUAUUGAUUUUGAGCCCAUUCGAUCAUCGAGGCAAAUGAUAUCAGAAAAAUAAUAAAAAUUUUAUUUUCCUAGGUCACCAAAUACUCUAGAUCAAGUUAAACGGAGCCGAUCGACGGAUUCGAAAGUCGCAGACAAUAGAAUCAGCCUGGAAGCACGGAAGCCCGUGCUCUCGAUAGGCAUGUAGCCUGCACUCUAUAUAAUAUAAUACUAGAUGAGAGAGAGAGAUAGGAAAAAAAUAGAGAAGAGAGAGACGGAGGAGAGAAGAGAGAGAUGAGAGAGAGAGAGAGAAGUUAGCUAGAAUACCUAGGUCGGAUAGCAAACGGGUUCCGUUGCCACCCAUUUGUUUUCGAUGAUAGAGCCUCCAAAUCGACGAUUGGCACCGUUGAACAUAAUCUAUACUACUUGAAGUGUUUAGAAAUCAAAUUUCAAAUCUUUUUGACAUCAUUUGUCUAAUGAUCAAAGGGUUUCAAAAUUUGUAAUUUUAAUUGUCGAUAUGAGGCGUUUUCUCGUUUAACGGUGUAAAGAUACUCAAAUCAAUUGAAUUUUUGUUAGAAAAUUCUUUAAACUAUUUAAAACAAGAUCUAUACUCUUGAUCUUGAUUACAAGACUCCUAUCAUCAUUUUUUAAAAAAUAUUCAUUUUCAGCCGUUCAUUUUUGUGUCCACUCGAUGGAUAAGAGAACAAUAUUGAAAAUGUAUGAAAUUUGAUUUCCAAACACUUUAAGUGGUAUAGAUCAUGUUUAACGGUGCCGAUUGUCGAUUUGGAGGCUCCAUCAUCGAAAACAAAUGGGUGGCAACGGAGCCCGUUUCCUAUCGAUAGUAUUCUAACUCAACUAUAUAUAUAUAUAUAUAUAUAUAUAUAUAUAUAUAAAGAGAGUACAUAAUAUAGUUGGUAGGUAUUCAAUUGCCACCUAAAGAGGUAGGAUGUUGGAUCUCUUAUUAGUAGACCCGUCAUUUUCUAUUUAUAUCCGCGUAUACUCAUAGAUUACUUAUAAAUUUGCAGGUAUGAAUAUUAAUUUUUCUUAUCCAAAAAAUUAUGCGUAACACGAAUGAGUAUCCGUUAAAAUUGUGGACAUUUUUUGUCUAUCCACUUAAAAAUUCUAAAUCUAACUACUCUUCUUCUUCUUUUCUUUCUGUGGCCCUCUCUCUUACCACGCCGCCUCUUUUGCCGCGCUGUUCUACCACCCUUCGGCUGCCUGCUUUACAUGUAAAAUAUCUUUACAUAUAGUUUAUGCGUUUUAAAAUUUAUAUUAUUUAUUAUAUAUUAUGAUAUUUCAAAUAAUAAAUUAUAUUAUAAUCUUUUAAAAGUUAUGUAUAUGUAAUUUGCAUUUGAAAAAUAUAAGAAUUAAAUAAAAAAAAAAGAAGAAUAUCUUACAGGUAAUCCGCAUAUCCACUCACCUGUUCACAGACGGAUAUAGAUAAAGAUACAGACUAUCUAAAAAUUUGCUUUAUAUUUAUAUAAUCUGCGAGUAAAAUAAUCCAUCUGUCAUUUAUUUAAUUCGUCUGUUUGUCGGGCCUACCUACCUACCUACCUACCUACGAGGGGGCAGACUAAAAUUGACCAUCUUAUAAUUAGCCAUUCAAACAUGGUUUCAAUGAAGAAGUUAUGUGUGAGUGGACAACUUCCCAACCCCUUUACAAUGACUCAUUUGACCCCAUUUUCAAUGCCCUCCCCAAAUUUAAUUAGGAGAGCCCUCAAAAUGAGUGAUGGAGAGAACUAUUAGGUGAUUCCCCCCUUGCCAAAGAACCCAUUUUUAACCACAACCCACCAAUAAUCAUUGUAGAGAGAGAUAAAAAAAAUAUAAGCCCAAAUAAAGAGGGGGAAGAGAGAGAAAAAGUAGGAAGAGGACAGGUGUUCAUUCUUGAUUAGGCCAUGAAGAGAGAGAGAGAGAGAGGGGAGAAGAAGAUAAGCCCAUCCUCCAUCCCUAUUUCCCAACCAAGUAACCAACCAUAUAAAUCCCCACCCCAUGAAUUAGAAUCUUUGUUCCUCUCUCUCUCUCUCUCUCUCUCUCUCUCUCUAUCCCCCCUCUCACCCAACCCCUCCCCAAAAUCCAAUUUUUAAGAAAGAGGGAGGAAGGAGACUCUCUCUCUUCUCUCUCUCUCUCUCUAAAGAGGGAGGAAGGAGAGGGAUUUGGGUGUUGAUCUCUCUCUCUCUCUCUCUUCUUCAACCCCAAAAUCCAAUUUUUAUAAGAUUGGGUGUUAAAGAGAGAGAGAGAGAGAGUGUGUGUGUGUGAGGAGAGAGAAAAUAGGAGGGAUUUGGGUGUUGGUUGUUGAGGAGGAAGAAGAUCUUUGAUGAGCUAAAAAAGCUUUUGUAAGGUUUGUGGAGGGGGUGAGGUGUGGAAGGGUCCCCCACACUUCAUAUUGUUGUUUUCCCACACUAUCAUCCCCCCUCUCUAUCUCUCUCUACUUUCUCUCUCUACAAACCUUCUCAAUUUCCUCUCACUCCUAUUAAAACCACCCCCUCCUCCAAAGCUCCCUCCUUUGUGUUGUGUUGUGUUGUGUUGUGUUGUGUUAGGUUACACCCACUCCCAUCCACCCAUUUCCCAAACUAAGAUUUUGUUGGUGGUUUUUAGUUGCAACACCACCAUCCUCUUUGAUGUGAGAGAAAAAAAAAGGGGACCCAAAAACCCAAACCCAAUUCUUAGGAUUAUUAAUUAAUCCAUUAAAGUUCAAAAUCCUGAGAUUUCUUUUUUUUUUCUUAUUAUUUAUCCAAAAAAAAAAUUGGAAUUUUUGCAUCUGAUUGGUGUUUUUUUUUUUUUUUUUNAGUAAACCCUAAACUUUCGAAAACUUCGUUUACUUUUCUUUUCUUAUAGUGAAUCAACCCCUUGGCCUAGGGUUGAGCUAGUAUUAAAGAAGAAGAAGAAAAAAAAAAAAAUCAAAAAAAAAAUCAAAACCUCCAAUUUUUGAUGAUCUUCUUACUUGUUCCAUUCGUGUCCUCCUUCUUGCUCCUCCUCCUCUCAAAAUCCCUGUCUGUCCAGUCCCUGCCCUCAUGGGCAGCUGACAUGAGACUGCUGUCUUCCCUCCUGCUCCGCGAUCUCGGCCUUCAGCUGCUCUGCUUCCUGCAAGACUGCACUCUUGCCGGCGCCGCCGCCGUCAGAAUUCGAUCCCCCGCGAUGCCGUCCCCCAGGAAGAAACUGCAAUCGCGGCCCGACGGCGGCAGAGGGGGCGGCGAAUCGGGCGGUCCGUCGAUCCUCGAUUUGCCCGAGCUGGCCCUCGAAUUGGUUCUCGGGAAGCUGCCGCCCCCCGCGCUCUGCAACGCGGCCGCCGUGUGCGCCGAGCUUCGCGACCGGUGCCGGAGCGAUCACCUGUGGGAGAGGCAUGUGAGGGAGAAGUGGGGGCGGGUGAUCGGCGACGCUGCCCGCCGCGAGUGGCAGCUGCACUUGGCCUCGAAAUCGGCCCAACCGAAGGCAGGUGGCGGGGGCGGCGGCGGCAGCAUCGGCAUCGGCGGCGGCGGGAGGUCGAGGCGGUGGAUCGCCGCGCUCUCCUGCGUCUGGCCGUUAUCCUGGAUUAGGUCUAGUGCCGAUCGCAGCUGCGGCGGCAACAAGCCGAAAAGAAGCGGCCCCUUGCCGGACAAUUCGAUCAUGGCGUGGUACAUGUCGAUGGAGACCGGCAUGUUCUGGUUCCCUGCUCAGGUCUACAACCGCGAGGUAUGCGAAUUCAAGGUCGAAUUCGCAAAGAUCGUGCGAUCAUGUGUUGUGUUCGACGAAAUGCCACUAAAAGAGUUUUCGAUUCUGAUUGUUGUGUUUUGUUUGCAGCAUGGGCAUGUCGGGUUCAUCUUGUCGUGCUACGACGCCGAAGUGAGCUACGAUUGCCGCAGCGACACCUUCCAUGCGAGGUAUGUGUAAUACCGCGGCGUAAUUGAAUGCUUAGGUUUUGCUCUUUCGUUUUUUCCGGCGAUCCGCGGCGAAUUCUAGGUCAAAAUAGGUUUCCUAUGUAUGACAAGAAGAGAGAUAGGGGAGGUUGGGAUGCUUCUACUCUUAUUUUCUUGCAAUUCAUCUUGGUUAGGAUAGACUCAUGAUGCGAAUAUGGAUGUCAAAAUUUAGCAUUCGACACGUAUUCGUAUCCGAAUUCGCAUUUGAAAUUGGUUUCUUCAAAAAUCCGACUGUAUUCAACCGUUCUCACUCUUAACAGAUAAGAGGGAUGUAAAUAUAUAUUGUAGGGGGAUUGCAGGGGGAUAAAAUGGUUUUCGAUUGUGCUUUUUGUUUAUUUUACUAUGAAUUUUGUAUUAAAAUUAUGUUUAUAUUUGGUAAGAUAUUAAAUUUUAUUGAGUGAAAUCUAAGAAUACGAAGUUUGAACACGAGUAUGGAUCUUUAAUUGCAUUCAUUGUGUUUCAUGUUAUUAUUAUCCGAAUAAUAUCCAAAUACAAAUCCGAGUUUUAUCUGAAUUCGAAUCCGUUUUAAACGGAUAUGGUAACAAAAAUUUAGCAACCGACACAUAUCAUCAUCCGAAGAAAAAUAUGGAUGGAAUAUGGUUUUGUUAAAAAUCUGACCGUAUUCGACCAUUUUCACCCCUAAUGCUACCCCGGUAAAAUCCGAAUACGGGUACUUUAGUCUCGAAGAAAUGAAACUCAAUCGAAGAGUGGCAUUUUUGGUAAGCGCGAUGACGACGACAUGUUUAGGUCUUAUGUAAUAAUUCAGUUUUCGACAAUGUUAUAUAGAUAAAUAUAUGAUAUUACAGCAUCUCAUUUGAGAGUCUGCUAUUGCUGUUGCUCAUCUUUAAGCGCAAUCUCAACCGACAGGUACCCGCCGCACGGGCGUCGGACCAUCGUCAUCGAAGAGGGAGUUCAAUGGGAUAGGCUACGGCCGCCCCCCGUCGACACUCCCGCACACGACCUCCACAUCUCGGACUGCUUGAAUGAUCUCCGCCCGGGCGACCACAUUGAGAUUCAAUGGAGAAGGAACAAGGAGUUCCCCUACGGUGCGCGUUUUUGCGUAACAUCUCCUUUUAGCUCGAACUUUCAAAAAUAGUUCAGUGAUAAUUAUUCGACUUAAUCGGCAUUUUUUUUUUUUGUUUUGGGCAGGAUGGUGGUAUGGAGUUGUAGGUCACUUAGAGUCGUGCGACGGGAACGAGCAUUUCUGUCGCUGCCAUCUCAGCGGUGAGUGUCGCACCUCUGACUUGUUGUCGCUUUUAAAUUUUUCCCUUCUCUGGCUUAACAUAAAAACUGGACCUAGUAUUGAAAAUGUUAGUAUCUGAUUCAGAAACACUUUUUCCUCCCGCGUGUUUGAAGUUUUGUUUGCGACUCUGAAAAAACUGAAAACUGAAAACUGAAAACUGAAAAAUGAAAAAUGAAAAACUGAAUCCCUCGUUUUGGUUACACUCCAAUUCUCUUGAUUCUUAACCCUCAAUUUUACGUCACUGGAAUGCACCAGCGACGGCGCAAUAAAUGAAAACAAACAAGAAUUAGAACGAUGACCGACCAAGGCCAAAACGAAACUUCAGCCCAAACUAAAACUGAUGCUAGUUCUGAUAAAUUUUUGCGGUUCGUGAACUCUGCUUAUUUUUUUUCUCAGAUACGGUCGCGUUGGAGUUCAAUCACUACACACCUGGCUCGCGAUGGAGGCGGGCGUCGGUCAAUCGAAAGGAUCACCGCGAAGGCAACGAAACUGACGGGUUCUACGGCGGCAUCAGGAAACUGCACUGCAAGGCCGAGAUCUCAAAGUGGAGGCAACUUUGGCCGACCGAUAUCUUGGAAUAGAUAAAACAUUGCGUCGAAUCUCUUCAGCGAAUACAUCACGAUAUCGCUCUUCGAUCUCAACACAAAAGUUAAAAAGAUUUAGUAUCUAACUAUGAUCUGAGCAUCAAUGUAUGCCAUGUUGUUAUUUCUCACUCUCUUUCUCUCUCUUCUUUUUUCUUUUUUUUUUUCCUUUUUUUAUAUUUUGGCUGAUUGGGGGGGAGGGUUGUUUAUACAACUCCAGGAACAGGAAUUAUCCACUAUUGUAUUGUUAGAACAGAUUAAAAGCAAAUGUAAAUUACACAAUUAGCUUCUAUUUGAAGAGUAUUUUAGGAGUUCAUCUGAAUAAUGUUCUGAUUAUCUGAUCUGUAAAAAAUUUGCUGCUUUGGAUUUUGUUUUUUUUUGAGAUUUUUUCUGCAACUGUAAUGUUUUGAACUUCCUUUGAUGUAUUAUAAGAUUAAAUUGCGGUUUAAGUAGAGCUGUUUGAAGAAGAACAAACUGUAGAGUUUGCGAUAGAAGCUCCUAAUUUUAGAUUCUUCUUUCGCAUUUUAGAUUCUCAAGUCACAGCAGGAGCUCUAAACUUCUACAGUUUAAAAUAGAUGAAUAAUGAAUUGUUUCGGAAGUUAACUUGUAGUCUUGAAGAUCAUCAUUACUGUCUUCUAAUAAAUUUUUUCAAUAAAAAAAAAAAUCUCUCUAAUGAUUUCGCGCUGCGAAUAAGGUUGGCAAUAAAUUGGAGCUUCGGUUUCUGAGACGUAUAAGCUCAUUUCUAGUUUUCUGUCGCAGCAAAAGUUCAAAAGUUUUUUUUUUUUUUUUGCCAAAGUGAAAAAGCUAUUUACAUUCGAAUCAAAUCCUUAUAUAAUUACUCGUGCGAUUUUUUAACCGUCAGAUUAUCUUAAGAUUCGUGCAGUAUUAAUAAGGGAGACUUAGUAGGACACAUCGUCAAUAGUACUGUAUAAAUCUUGAGGGCGAUCCGACGGCUAAACAGUCAUAAGCAUAAAUGCUCUUGUGUUUUCAAAAGUACAGGAGCUCAACUCGUAGUUUUAGUAUCUUUUUAAGUUUCUUGUGACAAGUUAUGAAUAUGUAAGGCGUGGAUGAUAACCUUAUAAAACUCCUACAACUCUACAAGGUACAUUUAAUUUUAAGUGGAAAUAUUAACCUUUUUUAGGGAUAAUUUUUUUUAAUAUUCUUCUGGAAGGUUGUGAUUUCAUAAAAUGUCCCUUCAGAGUUCAAAAUAUCAUCAAUACUCUCAUAAACAUUAUAAUUCAUGCGAAUUUAAUAGAUCAGUUCUGAAAUUUCAUUUUUCACCUGUAGUAAACUUAAAGCUUAGCAAAAUUAGCACCAAGAAAGCAAUUUCCAUAAUUUCAACACAUUUUUUAAAGCUAAAUAACUAAUAAAUAAAAGCAAUAGAUCACACAUUUAAUGAGAAAUUUAAAAAAAUAAAGCCAUAACUUGUAAAGUUAAAAUCUAUGUCCUACAAAAAAUAACAGUAUGUAUUAAUAUUAAUAUUUUGCUUUACAAGAAAUAGUUGAGAGUAAAAUUGUCAUUUCAUUAACUUAAUGAGUAUUUAGUAUAUAUGCUUGAAUUGGUACUUGUGAUAAAUUCAUAUAUUUAGAGGGGUAUAUGUUUUGAAGGGGCAUCUAUGAAAUUUUGAAAUUCAGAGAGCAAUGUUGGAAAUUGCUUUUUUUUAAAAAAAUUAACUAGCCCUUUCAAGGGUGCAUAUGCAUAGAAUCAAAUAUGAAAUCUCUUAGCUUCGUUUGGUUUGGAGUUAAGUAAAAACUAGUUAUUUCAAGAAUACGGUUAAGUUCAGGAUUAAGCCUGGAAUAGAUUAAUUUUGCUUUCGGAUUAUAAUUGAGUUGUUUCCGGAAUUAAGAAAAAUAGUGUUUGGACAGAUAAUAUAGAAUAAGAAGAAUAGUGGGUAGAGUUAUAAAUAGAAAAUAAUGAUAUUGCCCUAAUUAUUAUAUUUUAAUUUAAAUUUAAAAUUUAAAUAAUUAAAAAUAAUAAUUUAAAAUUUAAAAUUUAAAAUAAAAAUUUUUAUUUUUAAAUCUCAAAUUUAAAAUUUAAGUUAUAACUUUUAAAUUUUAAAUUUUAAAUCAACUCUCAAGUUACAAAUAUAAAAUGUUAAAUUUAAAUAAUUAAAAUAAUAUUUAAAAUUUAAAAUUUAAAAUUUAAAUCUAAAUAUUAAUUUAAAAUUUAUAAUUUAAAAUCUAAAUGUUAAUUUUAAUUUUAAAAUUUUAAAAUUUAAAAUUUAUAAUUUAUAAUUUAUAAUUUAAAUUAUAUAUUUAAAAAUUAAAUAGGGUGGGAUUAGCUAAUCAAUUUGGCCGCACUUAGGGCUAGCAAUCAGCUCGUUGUACGCGCAGGCGUCCAUAUUUAACUUGAAAUGAGCAUCACGAUCGAUCGCGCAUUUAAUGAACGAGCAGAAAAAGCUGAAUUUUUCAACUCGAAAUCUUAACAAGCCCAACACGAGCUGCGGAUUAGUUCAUUUGCAUUCAGCUCAAUAUAGUUCGAAUACACUCACAGAUAAAUAAAUAAAUAAAUAAAUAAAUAUAUAUAUAUAUAUAUAUAUAUAUUAUAUAUAUAUAUAUAUAUAUAUAUAUAUAUAUAUAUAUAUAUAUUUAAUUUUUUACUAUUUGAAUUUAGGCCAAUCAAAAUGUAAUGGGGCUUAUAUUUUGUAAAAUUUUAUUAUUAGAUUAGGUUUUUAAUUUUUUAACUUUCUUUCAACUUUUUCGUGGAUAGUAGGACUGGCAAUCUAACUUACUGUUCCUAAGACAGCUCGUGUUCGGCUCUUUAAUAUACAAGAAGAACACGAGCUGAAUGUUUUAGCUUGAUAUUUUAAUAAGUCAGCUCAUGUAUGGCUUAUUUAAUAAACAAACGAAUAUGAGCCGUCCCCAGCUCGCUUGUGUUCAGCUUGUUAACAAUAGCCCUAGUCGCACUAUGGUGAUGUAAUAAAGAGGUGCUAACGGGCUGGAUCGAGUUGGAUCUAAAUGGACCCGAUUCGGUCCAAGAUUUUAAAAUCCAAUCCAAUCAAGUUUAGAGGUCUACAUCUUGGGAGCAAUAUUGGGUCGGAUUUUAAAACAUUUCUAAGCAACUUGCCCCGGCCCGGCCCGGCCCGACCUAGCCUGGCACUUUGACAAUUGUAGUAGUAAUAAUAAGAAAACACUUCAAAUGCCACCUGGAGUUUCGCAUUUUCUCAUCUUAGUACUCUGUGAUUUAAAAUGUAUCACUUUCAUACCCUGUAUUUUUUUUGUUCUUUUUGUUAUCCACUUCACUAUUUUUUUUUUGUUAAAUCAGUGACAAAGUUAAAACUGAAGGUUACUAAAGUGAAUAUUCGAUAAACCAUUAGUAGGUAUCCUAAUUUUUUUGUAUAUAAUUUAACGAAAAGUUAACGAAGGGACUGACGAAAAGAGAAAAAUGAAAUCAUAGGGUACUAAAUUGAUAUACUUUAAAAUGCAGAGUACUAAGUGCGAAAGUACGAAACCACGAGGGUGAUAUUUGAAGUUUACCCUAAUAAUAAUAAUAGUAAUAAUAAUAUAUAAUAAUGUAGAUAAUUUUUCAGCACCUAUACCUUUUCUUUCAACUCAGGGACAGUGUUUUGUUUCAUAAAAUAGUUUUUUGGUUGAAAAAAUAUUUUUUACUAUGUAUCACAGACACUUCUAUAAGCCUCACGUUUCUGUAUCAGACACGCUUGUAUCUAAUGUGGGCACUCCUUGGACGUGCGUUCAAUACCGCUCUAAAGUGCAUACAAUUAAUAUAUAUAUAUAUAUAUAUAUAUAUAUAUAUAUAUAUAUAUAUAUAUAUAUAUAUAUAUAUNUUCACAUUUUUAUGCAUAUAUAAUAUAAAAUGGCAAAUAUUUUAGCUUUUUUAUAAAGGCAUACACAUUUUCUUGGACAAUAUAAAUAAAUUAUGAAUAGUGGAGAAUUUCUUUUCUUAAAAUAAAUGAACUAUCAAUAAAAAUUUUACUAACUUUCAAUCAUACGAGAAAUAUAAUAAUAUUUUACCAAAAUUAAUAUUUUACAAGUAAUAAAUAUAUAUUAUUAUAUUAAUAAUAUUAUAUUUUAUUAGUGGUGUCUAUAUCGUAUUCGUGUCCUAAUUUUUUAAAAACUACUGAGUCCCCGUGUGUCCUAAUCGUGUUCUGUCCUAUGUCAGUAUCCAUAACGCUUAUAUCUUCUAUCUAUUUGAUUCCUAAAAAAAUAGUUUUUCAAAAAAAUUUUCUUCAGAUUUGUGGAAAAAUAGUUUUUUUUUUGAAAUUUUAAUCUGAAAAAUGAAAAUAGUUGAUAAGAGUGUUUUGCAUAGAAAAAAAUGUAUUUGUCUAAAUAACAGAUGAAAAUGUUUAUUAAAGUUUUUACUAUAGCAAGGAUUUAAGAUGAAUUAACUCAUGGGAUCAAUUAGCAAACAAAAGAAUUAGCUAGAAUAGUUCUACCAAGGACUUUUAUUUAAAAAUGACCCUUAAAAAAAAUUAUAAUUGGCUAAAUGACCCUUCUAAAAUUUUAUUUAGCCAACUAAAUCGCUGCUUGCCAGCUCAUCACUAUAUUGGACAAAAAUGAGAAAGACGGUAAAUUAUUCAUCGUCUUUAGAAAGCACUGAAUUAUUCCCCGUUUUCAGAUUGUUAUUAUUGUUUAUAAUUUUUUAUUUUUUUUUUGUAUGGAUUGUGAGGAUCCUUAUGAAGUUGAUUAGGAAUGUAUGCAGAUUAUUAAAAUUUUUAUUUAAUUGUUGAAAUUUUUUUAGCUGUUGCGAUUGUAUGUGAAUUGCUGAAAUUUUUAUGUGGUUGAAAGAAUUCUAUAUAAAAAAUAGAAAGAAACAGUAAAGUAUUUAUCAAUUUUCUUUUGUAAAAAAAGCCAGAUAGUAAAUAAUUUAUUGUUUUUUUUUCAUUAAAGAUGUCGGGCGAUUAACAGUUUUUGAUUGGACAGUAUAUGAUUAUUCGUCCAAAUAAAAUUUUGAUAAAAUUAUUUGACAAAUAAUAAAUUUUUUAAUAAUUUAACCUUACUCUAUUUCCAAGUUGACACUCAUAAUGAGAUUUGAAUUAAACGGUAAAUUAUACAAUUCGCCCCCAAACUUCUACCAAAAUUUAUCUCUGUCCCUACUAUUUUAAAGUGAAUUUAAUAAAUUCUAAACCUUUCAUAAAUAUACCAAAUUGGCUCGUUUUGUCAUUUGUCGUUAAAACUAUUAAUAAAAAAAAUAACAUAAAUAUUAAAUAAAUAUUUUGUUUUUGAAGCCAAAUAUGCAACCAAAAUGCAAAUCAAAGCCUCAUCAUUUUACCACGCUAGUUGUGAGACCCCAGAUAGUCCUAUAUAUGAGAUAUAAUAGGGCUAAACUCUUAACCCGGUUUAAGCAUUUUGGGUGGUGGCAAGGCCCAAGAGGUUAAGAGAGUUAAGCGUGCUGGGACGGGAGUAGUCCUAGGAUGGGUGACCCCCUGGGAAGUUGGGGCGUCACAGAUGGUAUCAGAGCCAAUUACCAGUCGGAAGUGUGAGAUGACUCUCGGCUGAACCAGGGUCUGGAUGACGGGCUAGCGAGAUGAGUCUCACAUCGCCUGGUACUUGUGAGUCUGAGCCUGACGAGGACGUCAGGGCUUAAAGGAGGGGAGAUUGUGAGACCCCAGAUAGUCCUAUAUAUGAGAUAUAAUAGGGCUAAACUCUUAACCCGGCUUAAGCAUUUUGGGUGGUGGCAAGGCCCAAGAGGUUAAGAGAGUUAAGCGUGCUGGGACGGGAGUAGUCCUAGGAUGGGUGACCCCCUGGGAAGUUGGGGCGUCACACUAGUAGUUCAACUUCUCUUUUUAGGUAGGUUAAAUUAUACUUUGGUCCUCAAACCAUGUAGCGCGUAGCAUUUUAGUCCUGCAACUUUAAUUCAUUGUAAUUUCUGACUCGAAUUAUAAGACGCGUGUAGGGGUGAAAACGGAUCAUAUAUUAUCCACAAAUAUUCGUAUUUGUAUUCAAUAAUAUCCGGAUUUGAAUAAAAAAUAUUCGGAUCUGGUCGGAUACAGACGGAUAUGGUUUUAGAAAGUUAAAUUUUUUCUGAUAUCCGAAAAAAAAGGAUAUGGAUAUAGAUAUCUAGAAUUUUAGUAUUAUUAUUUUUAUAUUCUUUAUAUUUUUGGAUUCAUCCGGCCCAAUUUUGCUCGUUUGGUCCGCCCAAAUUUCUUUCCUCUAAUUCAUUGCCAACCAGGGCACUGGAGGUGAUUUUUCAUAUUAUUCGUUUAUUUUAUAAUCAAUUGUAUAUUAAAAUCAUAUAUUUUAUAUAUGAAGAAGUAUAGUUAGGGAACAAAGUAGAAAAAUAAAGUAAAUUUUUUGUAUAUGUGCAUAUAUAUUAUACAUAUCCAACCCACAUUCGAAUCCGAAAAAUAUCUGACCAUAUUCCAAUCUAUAUUUAGCGGAUGUGGUAAUAAAAAUUUAGCAUAUGACGUAUAUCCGUAUCCAAAAAAAAUCGUAUAGAUGCGAAUAUAAUUUCGUCAAAUAUCUGGCCGUAUGCAAUCCGUUUUCACCUCUGGAAGUGUGACACAAACUUUAAAACUUUUAUCUUUCUCUCCUCACUUUCUCUCUCUUCACUCUCUUUCUCAUCUCUUUUUUCGCUUUAUUUUUUCUUCAUUGUCUCUCUCCUCACCCCUUUCUCUUCACUUUCUCUCAUUUCUUUCAUUUUACUCAUUUUCGCUCUCGUCCUUUUCUCCCUCUCUCCUAGUUUCUUGACGGAGAAUGUCUAAAUGCAACAACUUGAAAUAUUGUGACACAUAGGAUACUUUGACAUUUGGUGAUAUUUUCUAAGUGAGAACCAUUGGUCGAGUCGAGAAUUCGGGUACUGGAUGAGGUAGAUGCUUUAUUUUGAACUCGGUAAAGUUGUAUUUUAUUCAGUAUUCUCUAAACUCAUUCUAUUCCUGUAACACCCAAAAUAGUCCCACAUAGGAUGGAAAUGGGGCUAUAAUUGAGUACAUAAGAGAUCAUAGACACUAACUAAUAAUCGGGCUUAAACAUUUUGAGUCGAUAAUUUAGACCCGAUGAGUUAUUAUUGUUAGCAGGUUGAGCUGUUACAUGUUGAGGGCCUUUCAAGAAGUGUAUAUGCAAAUAAUCAAAUUUAAAAUUUCUUAAUCCGCUAUCAGGGUAUUAUCUAAUUGCACUAGACAGCGGUGCUAGGUGAAACUAUUCAAUUUGGCCGUACUUAGGGCUGGCAAUCCAAGAUUUUAGUCCUGAAACUUUAAUUCAUUGUAAUUUCUAACUCGUAUUAUGAGACGUGUCACACAGACUUUAAAAUUUUCAUCUCUCUCUUUUCUCACUUUCUGUCAUUUCUUUCAUUUUUUCUUAUUUUCUCUCUCAUCUUUUUCUCUCUUCUCUCUCAACUAAAAACUUUAUAUGGGACUAACAUUUACUCUAUAUGAGAUAUUUCAAGACAAAUACAAUAUUUAACCCCCAACUUUUUUUCAAUCCCCCAACUUUAGGAGUUUGUGUGCAAUUUUAUUCUUUUGUAGGGACACACAUGCAACUAUCCCUACUCCUAUUUAUAUACUAUUUUCCCCUUUUAUUUUACCAUUUCCUCGUAUGACUCCAUUUCCCACCUCUCUCUCUCUCUCUCUCUCUCUCUCUCUCUCUCUCUCUCGCUUUUCGUUCGCACACGAAACUCUCCCUAAUCCCCCAAUCUCCGCCCCGCGCCGAUGAACGGCGGGCCCUCCGGAUUCCGUAAGCUCCGAUUUUCCCCUUCGCGAUCCUACCGAAACCCCUAAUCCCCUGCUUUUUCGAGGAAUUUUUCGCCAUUUUUUCCGAUUUUUUUGAUGCAAUUUUGACGCGGUUUCCCCUUUUCUUUGACCUAGACAAUGCUCCGGUCGCUAGGGCCUUCGUUCUCGCGUGCGUGCUCCUCACGGCCGUGUUUGGGGUUCGGGGACGGGCGCUGCGGCUCGGAUUGUCGUAUCAGGUAGAGGAUUCGUGUUCUUUUGACCUAAUUUGGUGUGUGUUUUGGGGGAUUUUUGUGCUUUUUUUAACCUAAAUUUGACGUGGGUGUUUGAUUUUGUCAUCUGAGUAGUUGGUGAAUUGGUGAAUUAAAGAGCUCAUCGACUUGUUUGUGCUCAAUUCCCUACAUUAGAUCCUCUUUUCAUGCUAUACAAUAUGCUUAUAUGUUAUGUGUGUAGCUAUGGGAAGGAAUUUAGGGAUCUAGUUAUCUAAGGAUCGCAGAAAAUAGAGUAAAUUUUGCGUUUGGUUUGAGUUUAUACUGAGUGUUUGUAGGGAUUAGAAGGAUAAUUGCGAUGUUAAAGUGUGUCCGUAAUAAUCAGAGUCAUAACUGAGUAUGUAAUGAGAAAUUGAGGAUGGUGUGGCACCAGUGGUUGGGUGGACGAAUUUUGUGAGGAUAGCUUCUUUUUCCUUAGGUUAUCCUUUAUUGUAUGAUAAUUGAGAACAAAAUCAACAUUUUCAUUUGGUUUUAGAUUUUAGGAGUAUCUGUAAUAGUUCAGCAAUAGUUAUAACAAUAAAAUAGAGAUAUACCAGUUAUGGGGAUUACUGCGGAUAACUAGGGAUAAUGAGGUAUGAAGUGGGGGAUGGGAGAUAGGUUUUUCUUGUAUUCUUGUUGGCGGGUGAGGUUUUUCUUGCCGUGAAUUAGGUAUGGGUUUUUGAUUCUGUCAUCUCGGUAGUUGAUGGAUUGGUGACUUGCAGAACCUAUUGACCUGUUUUGGUUAAUUCCCUAAAUUAUAUUUCUUUUUAUGCUAUGUAGUAAUAUGUUUGGAAGUUUUAUGCAAUAUAAGAAUGGAGUUGCCCAAGUUGUGUAGCUCGAAUAACUAGGGAUGAAAUGAGGGUUAGCAUGUUUCCAGGGGUUGUGUGGUGUUUGGAUAAAUUCUGUGAGGUUAUUUUCUUAUUCCUUAGGUUAUUUGCUAUCCUAAGAUAAUUGAGAACAAAGUCAAAUUACUGUUUGGUUUAGAUUAUAAGAGUAUCUGUAACAAUUACGUUGAUGAUUACAACAAUAAAAGAUAGUUUGAUCGGUUAUGGAGAUAACUAGCGAUAACUAGGGAUAACUAAGGGUAAAGUGUGGAUAGCUCUUUGUUGACAUGAGUUUUUCUUGUGCUCUUGUUGGUUGUAAGGUUUUGCUUGCUUUAAAUUAGACGUGUCUGUGGAUCGUUGAUGAAUUGAUGAUUUUACAGAACCCAAUGACUGUUGUAGUCAAUUGAUUCCGGGCAGACUUUUUACCCUGACAUAGAUUCUAUUUUAAUGUUGUUCCCUUGGAAGUUUGCUGUAGCAUGGGAUGAACAUACAGACUAAGUUUUAGAUGCAUAACUAUGUUCAUUUUUGCAUUAUAUUUAAAGGGCAUCUUCACCUCAGGUACAAAUUAUUUGGAUUCAGCUAGAAACUUUUCUCUAUUCUUGUAGAAGUCCUUGGAAAUUAAGAAAUGGAUGGGCAAACAUAAAGGGAUGGUGAGUUAAUGUACAUAAGCUAGCACAAUUAAUUAGUCGAACAACAUUUUUAGUUUGUCCCGUUAAUGGUUAUUAUGUUCUUGCACGCAUAAGAUUUGCUAGUUAAAUGAUUAGUGAGAUCAAUUUUAUAUUGUAUAUAUGUUCUGUUGGUAGUAGAAGAUGAUUUGCAAAAGGAAGCACCUGAUGAGAACAACAUUUGACUUAGAAAAAAACUUUCUAUUAUCACCAUGGGGAAUAAAAUUCUGUUUGUAAUGAAGCUCCAAUUGAAUAGUGAAUGCAGUAAAAUUUUCUCCAAGGUAGUAUCCAUGUAUUCCUUUUUGUCACUUUUACUCUGGUACUUGGACACCUUAUAUAGAUUCUAGAUAGCGUGAAUUAUCUACUGGGUUCACUUGGUAAGAUGGAGAUUCACGUUCUACGCAUGGUUCGGGGAUGUUUGUUUGACUUUGGCGGUAAUAGUGGUCUAUGAAUUAAAUUGUUGUAUAUUACCAUCUACCAAAUAUAAUAUUCCAUGUCUGACUCUGUUCGUGUUUCAUAUUCAAGAAAAUUCUCUUUUUUUAAUACUCUCUCUCUCUCUCUCUCUCUCUCUCUCUCGCUUGUGCAUGCACACACACACACACAUUUGUAAAACUUGGUAUGCUAUAUGGAUAGUUGGUUUUUCUGGUUUAAAUACAUCCUUAUUGGCUAAACACUUAUUGGUGAAAUAUGUUUGUAAUUUCCAUUUGUAACUUUUUGUGACGAGUGAAAAGUUGGUUUUUAUGGUUUAGAUACAUCAUUGGUUGCUAUCCAUUUCCCAUUGUAGCUUAAAUACUAAGAAUUAAUCACUAGUUGAGGGGAAUCAUUACGGUAUUAUGUAUUUCAACUGAUGCAUAUAAUUUUCUUAGUUUUCAUGAAGCAGUUUAUCUGAACUAGUGUUCUUUGUUCAAAAUAGAUUAUUUAUUUAUAACAAUUGUUUAUUGUGCUAGACCGAUAGGAGAUUUUUUUCUCUAUUGGAGUCUAAUUUUGUGGCUUCAAAAUUUAGUAGUACAGUAAGGUUUAUCUUCAGAACCAAUUUGGACAGUAGAUUUUGGUAGCUUCAUAUUAAUCUCAUUACCAAAGAUAUUUUAGUUGAUAUUGUCUUAAUAUUUAAUAAAGAAAUUAGAACAAUUACAUGAUUUUUGGUUUCUAUAAUGUUGAAACUUUUAAGUAAUUAUUUUUUUGUAAGACAUAAUGGAAGUCAUAGAUUAUAAGUGUCUUAGUUGAUAAAACAUUAUUUAAUAACUGAUAUUUUCCUAGUUUGCAAGUGCCUUGGAACUUAAGAAUUCUUAGCACUUAAACCUCAAGAAUAUAAAUACUUUAGAGUUUGUCUUAUCAUCUGUCCUAGGUACUCUUGACGGUAAGUUGCACUCCAAUUUAUCAUUGAGGAGUGCCAUGGGAUGUCAUAUUAAAUCCAGGUGUUUGAAUAUGUUGACUCCUGUAAAUCCUGAAAGUCAGUUUCCCACUUAACCCUUUAGUUCUUAUGAUAAUGAGGUGAUGAAAAUUUUUAUUAGGUUAGGAGUGAAAUGAUAUUGGUUAUUAAGUUAGUGGAUAAUUGAUAAGUUCAGUAAAAUCUUGGAGGAUUGGAGUAUAGGGUGUCAUUCAUUGCGUCAAUUGGGAUUUGGGAACCGUUGCCUAUUAGUCUCUGGUACAUUUUUUUUCUUUUUAAUGAUGUUAUGUUAUUUCCUUCAGAAUUUGCACUAUGCAUGUAAUAUUUGUCACAAAGUGACAGUUUCAGUUAUAUUAAUAUUGUAACGUUUCGCUUGUGGCAGGAUAUUAUAAAAACCUUCCAGUUAUGGAGGAUUUUUGCAUCAGUAUUUGCGUUUUCGUCUACACCAGAAUUACUGUUUGGAGUAUACUUGCUUUAUUAUUUUAGGGUAUUUGAGAGGCAGAUGGGCUCCAACAAAUACUCAGUAAGUAAUAGGCCACUGAAAAGAAUCUUCGGCACACUGACAUAAGUUGUCAUGUGACUUGUUUAGAUGUGUCCUUUUCGAUAAAAGCUUGUUUAAAUGUGUUCUAAUUGAACAAAUAUAGUACUUCCAUUCUGUUCUCCUUAAAAGUUACUUUAUGGAUAGCAAACAUUGCUUGGUACUUCGACGACUUUUUAUUUCUUAGUCAUCUUGUUUAUGCACAAGUUUUAACCAUCUGUUUUCGGACUGUUUACUUGAUGUAUGUUGAAUUUGCAGGUCUUUGUGUUAUUCUCGCUGAUAGUAUCUUCGCUAUUUGAGAUUAUAGCUUUGAUGCUUUUUAAAGGUAUAGUUGUUUCUUAGUUUGCUAACCUACGCAAAUCAGCGUUAUAUGAUAAUCUUGCCUACUGAAAUAAUAAUGCCUUUUUGCCUUUUUGCUUACUGAAAUACACCUUUCUUUCCUUCAACUUUUAGUUAUGUAUUAUAAAUUCAAUAUAUUGUAUAAUACUUUUCUCUUCUAAGCGAUUGUAGAACCUUUUGACAUUCUAUCUUGCACAUAAACUUAGUUGAAAUAAUGGUUUUUCUUUUUCCUUUUCAUAGAUCCCACGGCAAACGUAAUUGCUUCUGGGCCUUAUGGUCUCAUAUUUUCAUCAUUUGUGCCCUUUUAUUUUGAUAUUCCUGUUACAUCACGGUUCCGCAUAUUCGGCUUACAAUUUGGCGACAAGUCAUUCAUAUACCUGGCUGGCCUUCAGGUUAUUGUUGUUUCCAGAAUCUCGAUAUUUUUAGGGGCAGUUUAUGUUAUUGUUAAUUACUCCGUGUUCUCUCUCCUGCUAUCAGCUUCUCUUGUCGUCCUGGAAAAGGUCACUUUUACCUGGCCUAUGUGGAAUGCUGGCUGGCGCCCUAUAUCACCUCAAUGUAUUUGGCAUUCGCCGGAUAAAGGUAAUUAUAAUUAAACUCAUUUUACUGUCUAUGUUACUUCAUUCCACUUACUUUUACAGCAUCAUGUCCUGUGGUAACUUCCUUAUAUUUUCUGCUUUAGAAAUUGGAACACUGUUGACAACCGAGGAACAUGAGGUUUCAAUUAGAUAUAUAAAGAGAGUAUAAAAUUAUACUUUUUGCAUGACUAUUUUAUUGGCAGUGAAUUCUUUUCUUUUGUUCUCAGGUUGCUUGUAGAACCUUAAUCAGCCUUUUUAGCUACUUGAGCAUAAAACUCCUGAGAAAAUCAGUCUAAAAUUUAAUACAAAAGUAUUUGACAUCAACGCGCGAGCUGAAUAGCACAAUAGAAAUGUAAAAUGCUUUUAAUCAAAGAGCACAAAAUGUGAGAUAAAGUGGUCUACAUCAGAGGACCUUAGCUUUUGUGGAAUUCUGUUGAUUACUUGUUCGAAAGAAACAAAAAGCUGUGAUGAGGGAAAUGCAAUGGUCUCUGAACCUCGAUUUUCUUCAUUUCAUACCAAAACCACAUAAAAGAACCAACACAAUUUAGAGAAAAGAAAAGAGAAAAUUUUGAAGACUUGAAAAUUCAUGUUGAUUAUGUUUCACAUGAAAACAAAUGUACGGUAAAGUGAACUAUGGCUAUACUUCAUUAGAGUUAUAUAAGCAAGGAUUUAAGUGCCUAUUGGCAUAGGCCGUGUCCACUGUAACAUACCAUGCUGACAAGAUAUCGCAUGAUAUGACCCCGUGCCGAUGGCGCGGCACAAUAUUCUCUUUUCUUUGAAAUUAGCAAGUAGCUGUCUGGAUAAAGUGCAAAAGAUUUAAUAAAGAUAUACCAUAAGCAAUAAAAUAUAUUGGUGCAAAAAAAGAAAAGAAACGUUAUGCCAAUGUGUGUCGGUGAUAGGCACGCAAGUACUUUUUGUGACAUGGAUGCAUCGGCACAACACGCACCAUGCCAUACCGCGCCAGCAAGUUUUUGGCGCGAUCCUGUUCCACGGCACUUAAAUCUUUGUUUUUAAGGUUUCUUGUAAUGUUAUUAUCACUGUCUUAUGCAGUUCUUAUUCAUGAUCGUUGAACCUGGUCGAACUGGGUUGAACUUUACGUUUAGUACUAGAAAUAUCUCUAUAGCGACAAGUUAUGUGCGGCAUUCCGAAUGGAAAUCAUCAACUCCACUGUAGAAGGGUUUAUACAGCUUUUGUUGCUUUACAUGAAGACAUAGACGAACUGCUAAAGAUUUUAAUUAUAAUUGUCGAUAACAAAAGUGAUUCAGGUUAUAUUCUUGAUCUGUGAAUACAAAUUACUUGCUUGAAAGUUUCCGUGUUGCCUUAGACCGACAAUGAUUGUUUCAUCUGCGGUCUUUUCUCAAAAACAAUUAAGAAUUCUCUUGUUAAUGAAAAUAUAAUGUGAUUAAUAAUCCCACAGUUCCCAAACGCCGUGGCGAGACAUUUCUCAAGGUUUUUCGCAUCUUCUGGGGCAAGCUCAUCGCGAACGUCACCAAAUGGGAAUAUUGCAGGAAAUAUUUCUUCUUUCACCGGCCGUCAAACUCAGGCAAGUCUUCUUACUUUCUAUCAAUAGUAACACACUAUCCGUGAAAGCUUUUAUCGCACAUAUUAUGCAUCUUUCGAUUGCUCCGAGAAAUCGUCUUAUUUCCCUGAUUCGCUUGCAGCGAAAUUAUCCACCUGUGGCACGUGCGCCUCCUCCAGAGCCACCUGAGUCUUCUAUCGCUAUGCUGGUAUCAAUGGGAUUUGAUAGCAACGCUGCGAGGCAGGCACUCAUGCAAGCCAGAAAUGACAUCAACGUGGCCACAAACAUCCUUCUAGAAGCGCAGUCGCGGUAAUCAAAAAUAGACAACAACGGUGGGGUUCUCUUACAAAUUUUCAUACGUCGAAAUCGGAUCAACUGAGUUAACACAGAACUAGGUGGAUCGAUAGAUGCUUCGUCCUUCUCCAGCGCUAGAAUCUGAUUACGUUAGGUUCGAGAUUGCAUUCAUCGGAGUUAAUAGUCGGUGCAAUCGUGUGUCGCAUAGACAUGGAUAUUUAGUAUACUUUUCUCGAUUUCGAAUGCAAGAUAGUGAUGGGUUCUGAUACUGUAGUGACAUGAGACAAUGCUUUAGCCAUCAUGUAAAAUUCUUUCUUAGAGGCUUAAAAGGACUUAAAAUCUUUUCCGAAGCUCCAGUUUACAAGAUGGUGAAUGUCUUUCUUCAAUUAGAUGGUGUAAUUCUGAGUUACUUAUUGCUUGUGAGGCGCGUUCGUAGUCGUUGUCGCUGUUUUACUGCAUUAAUUUGUCAAUUGCCUCCGUCGUCGAUGUGCUCGUAGAAUAUUGGUCAAUAUUGUUUGCAGUUGCUUUUAGUUAUUAUUGACUUUUAUCUCGCAGUCCCUUUCUCUUAUUAAUCUCUAUUUAUAUUUCCUUAGAAGCUUUUUUUUUUUUUUUUUUUUUUUCUUCUUUCUUUGGGGGGGGGGGGGGGGGAGCGAGGAGGACCGAGCUGAUGCUCGAGCGAGGCUUACACCGCUCAAGCUUGGCUUGAAAUUAAUUUCGAGCCUAAAUUUAGCCUCAAGCUCAGCUUGAAAUUAAUUCGAGCUGAGCUUGAGCGAGCCUAAUUUCCAGUCGAGCGACCUCGAGCCCUAAACGAGCCGCUUGAAAUUUUUAAUAUCGUACGAUCAAUAGUUUAAUUCAUACAGAACAUUAUCUACAAUUUGAUAUAAAAAUAUAUCUAAUAGUUCAAAAUAUAAAAUAAUUAUAUAAAAUACGGUAUUAUAAUAUGAGGAAAAAUAAUUUAUGAAUUGAAUAUUUAAUCUUUUUAACCUUGUAUGUUUUUACUUCCGCCUUCAAUUUUCAUAUUAUUCCUUUUAAUCCAUGCGGUCAAAAAUAAAUAAACUAUAUAGCGAAAUAUUGAAUUACACUAUCCAAUCAUAUAUGACUAAAAUUAAAAUUUUGUAUAAAUAAUAUUUUUAUUUGAAAAAUAUUUUAUAUAUUUUCUUAAGCACACAACUAAUGGCAAGGUUGGUAACAUCGGGCGCGUGUUAUUACUUGGUAACUUGGAGAGCUUCAGGCUUAGCCGCUUGGUGUGUGUGAGAGAGGGAGAGAGAGAGAGAGAGAGAUACUAGGGCCCUGUGAAAAAAAAAGAGUGAGAGUAUGUAAAUUUAGGAAAAUUUUACCUUUUUGUUGGCAUAUUGAGUUUGUUUUUAUGGGCUGACAAUAUAGGCCCAAUUUUAACUAAAUUCAGAUUCUCACUCAGCCUACAUAUAAUUAAUAUAUAUAUAUAUAUAUAUAUAUAUAUAUAUAUAUAUAAUUAUAGUAUUUAUAGUCCGGCUGGGUAUCUAUCGAUGCACCAAGGAUUUGGGUGCUAUCGAGUUUCUAUGUAGAUAGGUAUGCUUUGCAGUAUUUUUUACCCGGUUAGAUUAUACUAUUAACAAUUACUCACCGAUCCUUAGGAGGUAAUACAUCUACACUCUUUUUUAACAAUGGCUAAAAUUUCAGUGCACAAUUAGAUUGUGCUAUGAGUUUUCGCGUAGUUUAUAUAUAUCAUAGAGAGAGAGAAGGUUGGACUGGGUAUAUUUAGUAGCAAAAUCCAUUGUUUAGCUUACCAGUUUUUAGUUUGGAUCAAUGCUUUUCAUCAUUUCUAACCAUUGGAUUAAUACUAUAACCCAGUGGGGACAUAACCCUAGGGGGCACUAAACUCUAAUGACUAAUAUUCAUCCUAACCCUAAAUUUUCAUCCAAUGGGCUAAAGAUUGAUAGUCAAAAGAAGGGUUUACUAGUAAUGUUAUUCGUAGUUAUUAUAGUAUAUAUAAUAUAUUAUAUACUAUAUAUAUAGUAUAUUACUAUAUGUAUAGAGUAUAUAUAUAUAUAUAUAUAUAGAGUUGAUCUAUGAUACUUUUACAGUAUAUCCCCAUGUUGCUAGUCACUUUUUAGCCCUGUGGUAUAUUUUUUGAUACAAAUAGCCCUGGAUCAACCUAUUUCACUACCUACAUCCUACCACUACCCAUCAUCUCACCUACAUCCUCAUCAGGGCUAAAACACACAAGUAUCACUUGGGUGAUACUUGUAAAAGUAUUCUAGCCCCUAUCAUCUCUCUCUUAUUAUAUAUAUAUAUAAUUAGGCUACUGAUACUAUUUGAGUACCCGGAGUCUGAGUACUAUAGUCUUGUUUAUCGUCUUAAGGUGUUCAAUUAACGCUCCACACUGUUAAAUUGAUCUAGAGAUAUGAAGUCUUAGCAAAUAAAUUUUAGUUUUUUUCGACAUCGUACUUAGUAAAUAAAUUAUGUCAAAAGCGGGUGAAAUUGAAUAAUUUUCAAAUUUGGCAUGCACUUUUAAUUCAAGAUCAAGAUGUUAACCUUUAAUUAGAUAGUUUAACUAUUUCUAUCAAAUUAUGGAAGAAUUUAUUCUUCUGACGUUAAACUCCAAACUCGAAUAACUAGCCAUUAAAAUAUGACAAUUUUGAAAUGGUUUGAUAUAAAAUAGAAUUAUGGCGAAAAAAUAAAAUUUUAUUUCUAAACUUUAAACCCUAGAUCAAGUUUUAACGGUGUGGAUCGUUGAUUUGAACACGUAAGAUCGAAAUGAGAUUAUAUCUACCGAACCCCCCCGGUAAUAUAGAUAGUAUAGGACGCAGCGGCUAUAUAUUACUAUAUGAGAGAGAGCGGAGACUAGGAGAGGGAACUGGAGAGAUUAGAGAGAUGAGAGAGAGUGAGCUGGAAGCUAUCGGGGGGUGCAAACUCGGCUUUCGUUGUCACCGUUGUUUUCGAUUAUUGGGAGCCUUUAAUAUGACGAUCGGGCACGGUUGAAUUGAGCUAUACCUUAAAGUAUUUAGAAACCAAAUUUAAAUCAUUUCGACAUCGAUUGAGCCUAAUGAUCAAGCGUUUCAAAUUUGUAAUUUUAUUCAGGUAGAUAUGAGGCGUUUUCUUACUUUAAGCGGUGUAAAACUAAUAAUCAUUGAUUUGGUUAGAAAAUUCUUUAGAACUAUUUAAAUAGAAAUCUAUACUCGGUCGAGUUGAUUACAAAUGCCUAUCGUUCACUUUUAGAGGAAUUCAAUUUCAGCGUUCAUUUUUACGCACUUGAUGGACAAGGAGAACAAUAUCGGAAAACAUAAAGAUUUGAUUUCUAGUAUCUUCAGUGCGAUCUGGAUUUGGAUUGCUACAUCUCGAAAAGGUAUGACAAUGAGCCCGUUGCUACGAUGAGUAUUCUAGCUAACUUAUAUAUAUAUAUUAUUAUAGAGUUGAGUCUAUGGAUACUUUUACCAAGUAUCACCUCAUGGUGCUUAUUAGGUGUUUUAAGCCAUUGGAUCUUACUUUUUUGAUAUUAAUAGCUCCUUGUGAUAAGAACUAUUCACCUGACACACCUCACCUAUCUCAACCUAUCAUCUCUCCAUCAAGGGCCUAAUAAACAACACAAAGUAGCACACAUAUGACUUUUAAGUAUUUCGGAGCCUAUCAUUAUAUAUAAGAUAUAUAUAAUUAUAUAUAUUAUAUUCAAGCUUCACUUUGUUUUCGAUGUUCGGACUUCGAUCGACGAGUCGUCCGUGUAGAGUUGAUCUAGUUUUUAAGUACAAGAAAUUAAUUUUUGCGAUUUUUCGAUAUAUUUGCCUAGUGAUCGAAGGGGAUCAAAAUCAAUAAUUUAAGGGCCGUGGUGAGCUGUUGGCAGUUUUAACGGUUUUGGUUGUUAGAAAUAUCAAAUCCGUGAAAUUUGAUAGAAUUCUUAUAUACCAUUAUAAACAAAGACAAUAACUUUAUGAUCUAAAAUUUUUAAUGUCAUAUCAUCAUAUUUAGUGAGAUGUUUUAUUUUCAGCCGUUGUGAUUUGGAGCUCAUUCAUCACUAGGAAAUGAUAUCGAAAGAUCGCAAAUUUGAUUUUCUAGCAUUAUUUCAAAUACUCUAUAUUCAAGUCUAACGAGAGCGGAUCGUCGAUUUGAAAUCGCCAACAUCGAAACAAGGGAAGAACGGAGCGCUCGUGCUUUCCCAAAGACCACAGAGCACGUUUAAUAUAUAAUAUAGUAUAUAUAUAGAUAUAUUAUUUAAUAUUAUUCAAGAUUUUUCGAGGCCUUAAUUCGACCUUUGUGAGCCCGAGAAUACUCAAGCCAGCUUGGAAUGAAUUCCGAGAUUUUUUUUUUUUUGUGUUCAAGGCUCGGGCUAUUAAUUUCAAGUCGAGAUAGUGGGCGAAUAUCGAGGUCGAAACGAGCGGCUCGCUCAUUUGCAGGCCUGUUGUGGCGGUGGAGCGGAGGGCGACAUCUCUAAUGUUUUUUUUUUUUUUUUUUUUGUUUUUAUGUUUUUUUUUUUUUUUUUUUUUUUUUUUUUUUUUUCUUUUUUUUUUCUAUACUCCUUGGGAGUGAUCAAAAUGCCUUACUUUGAUUUUAAAAAAUCCUUCAAUUUUAAAACUCUUAUUAGGGCUAUAAUGAAUUGGAGUAUAGAAGAGUUUUUGAUAAUUUCAUCUGUUUAAAAUUUGAAUUUUAAAUUUUUUCGGGUUUGAUCAGGAUCUCUCUUAUUCACUUUGGUUAUGACUCUCUGACAUGGCUCUUCAUUUAUGUAUACGGGUCGAGGAUGCUACUUGUUAGGCAGCCUAUUGGUUCCUGGUUUGUAAUUUUUAAUAAUUAUAUUAUAUUUUUUAUUAAAAUAUUUAAAUCAUAUUGGUAAAAUUAUGUUUGGGUAGUUCUGUAAAUAGUGUUGACGAUAGUAGUAAUUAUUGUAGAUUCUCAUCGGCAGAAUUAUUAAAUUUAUUAUGAGUAAGAGGUAGCUAUUUUUAUUUUGUGUACAUAAUAAAAUUAUUAGUAGUUCAUUAUAAGAACAUAUAGUUUUUAACAACUUUCUAAUUUGAAAUGGUUUGAAUAAGAUUCGAGUAACAUAUUUGCGUGCGUAAUCUAAGAAUUAUAGCACAGUUUUUUCGCAAUCUUUACUAAUUUUAAACCAAAAUUGGGUAAUAAACUGUAUAAUCACAUAGCAUCAAUAAAAUUAGUACAUAAGAUUUGGGCCCAUUGGCAUAUUGCAAUUUACAAAGAAGAAUAUUAAGUUUAUUAGGGGUAAUGCAAUCUUUAAUCCUAUUCCUUGGUUUCACACAUUGGUUCUUAUGUUUAGUAUCUAUGGCGUUUAAUGUGCAUUCAUUUAGUCAUAAGUAUGAUUUCAUUUUUGUCUUUUUAUUUUAAUUUACUAAUUUUUUUUUCAUUAAAUCAGUACAACGUUUAUAACGUAAACGGUACUAAAGUGACUAUUUGAUAACAUCUUAGAUAGGAUAUCGGGAAGUUUUUGUGAUAUAAAGAUUUAACGAGAAUAUUAACGACAAAGUUGACAAAUUUAACGAAAUUUAACGAAAAAUGAGAAAGCAUAAAAUAAAAUCAGGAUAUACUUGUUACACUUUAAACAAUAGGGAUACUAAGUGAGAACUAUGCGACCACGAAGGUGAGUAUUGAAAGUUUGCAUUUAUGAUUAGUUUUACCUUUAUUAAUAUUUUUUUUUUUUUUCCUCUUCCUUUUUUUCAGAAUACAAUUCAUUCCUCUCACCAACCAAAAAAGCAGCUAAAGAAGUAAUAAACAUCUCAGCAAUUCUAUAUACAAUUUCGCGAAACAGUUUCAGAUUCUUCUUUUAAGUUCAAACACAAACUUUAAGAUGCAAAUCCACUCGAGAAGAAUCGGAGCUUCGAGAACGAAGUUAAAAUUAGUGUUGCUGAAAGUAGAGCAUUCUAAGUGCCCUCCCCAUCCGCGGUGUAGACCGGAAUCUGCCAGUUCUUGUUGUUCUUCUUGGGGUCAUCUGUCAGGUACAGAUCAUUCUCAUCUUCUCUGAAUGUCUUCACAAAUGUUUUCGCGCCCGACAUUACCAACCUCUCCACUAUAAAUAGCUGGUAAUUGUUCUCGAUCACCGGGUCUAAUAUCUCGCUGAAAUUCGACGAAUAUGCUAACCUAUACCUGUAUUAAAAAAAGAAACCAUAAGAUCGAAAAUACUAGCAUUUAAUGAACAACUUCAGAAUUGUUGCGACUGUAACAAUACUAUUUCUGCAUCUUGGAAAGGAGAAUGCUUGGUUUUCAAUUCAAAGUGUCUAAUUCAAUUCAGGAAAAUUAACUCGAAUCAAUGAAUCAACGGUUGAGAUGUCGAUCAGGAGAAGAAUGGCGGGUAUUUCUGAGUUUCAGUUCAGUGAAAGUCAUAACCUGGCAGACAGUGGGGAAAAGAAGCCCGGCGUCCUCUCAUUCGAAGCGAUGAAUAUCGUCCGUCCUGGAGCAAUCCAUUUCGCUAUUCUCCGUUGAAUGGAUUCUGGGCGGGUGUCCCUGUCGAGGUGCGGAUGAAGGGUUCUGACGACUCCGAAUUCAUCUUUCCUGGUCGCCAUUUUGUCCCCUCUCCGCACGUGAACGGCGUCGUAAUCACGGAGCAAAGCUUCGAUCUGCAAAGACUACUGCAUGUUGUUAUGAUAAGAGGAUUUCGAGCUGUUUGAGCGUUUAAUUUGUACGAUUCACAGUACAAAAUAAUCGAAGGAAGCAAACAACUUAUGCCGCAUUGAUAAACCAGCAUGCUCUAGAACAGAUAUUGAUUUGGUGAUAAACGAUACCUUUUCUGCCGCAUCUCUCAAUCUUCUACUUGCCAUCCUCGGCAGAAAAGAGUACGGCAGCAUUACGGAGCUGCGAUUCGCUCGAUCCUUGCACUCCGUGAACCUAAAUUUUAUUACCACGAUCAAGACUAGCUCUUCAAUAGAUCUUUUACGACUCAAGCAUUAAAUCGAAGCCCCAAUCUUCGUCACCUGUAUCAUUUUACUACACUUUGAACUGCAGUGUACAAAGUAAAAUCGAGAUUUUACCAUGCCAGAGGACUCGCCGUGCGGUUUAUGAGCAGAACAUCGGAGUACAUGCACUUCUCUUUGAGCUCCGCCCGGCUAAUUCCCUGUACAUGGGCUAUCCCCCGCUUUCCGAGCCUCGUACUUUUCAACAGUAUCUGAUACCACGCCUUCGAAUUGUCCAAAAUCACUGGAACUGUUCGCGAAAUCAGGUCUAUAUCAUACAAAGAGUCCAUCGCGCAGAAAUUUGCUUCCCACCUACAGAAGAUUGAAUUCUACUCAUUAUUCAUCAACACUUCAAACAAUGCAUUCAAAGCUCUUUGCGGCGCAUUGCAGUAAAAUAGGCUAAGUUUAGCGAGUUUAUUGGCAAAUCUUUCGUAAUCACGGAAUUUUCACGAAACCGGACACGAGACUAGCACUGUUUCAGAACAUUCGUGGGAACUGCACUGAAUUGGGCAGAGACCUGUCCUCUGAGCUUCCAUUGUUGGAUCGGCGGCGGAGAAUCCCCUUCUUGUUAUGUAUUGGAUUAAUGCACAUUCUGGAAGGCAUCACAAACACUCUGGAGAAGUUACUGAAGUUAGUAAGCAAAUAAUAAGAUAUAGUAGUAGAACAUAGCAAAUGAAUGGAGCUGAAAAAGAAACUAAAAUCAUGAGACAUUGCUAAUCCUUGCAAAGAGUGGAAAUUAUUGCAUUGUCACUUGUAAAAGGUUUCAAUUCUCUAUCUCCGUCAAGUUGUGAAAUGUCGCAGAUUCGUCCCUACUAGUUGAACUAGUAUUAGCAACUUGUUGGGUCCAACCAUUGGUUCAAAAUGCACUAGUCCAGUAAUUGAUAAUUUAAUACUAGAGUGAUUAUUACUCCUUAUAUAUCCAAAUAAAAUCCAUUUACAUCCAAUAUAGGAAAUAUUACAGUGUUGAAAUAAUGCGAUGCUGCACCUGCCUUCUUACUGUAACAUACUAGUCCACUAAGGGGCUGUUUGAGUGCAUGUAGUUGCAACUGCAAAUCCGACAUUUUUCGUUCGAUGCGUUUGAAUCCAACUAUCGCAGUUGGAACUGCAUGAGGAUGCCCAACUGCAGUCUGCAGCAGUUAGAGAGAGCAACUUCAAACAAGAGGUAAGCUUACGUCCUUAAUUUUUUUUUUUUAUAAUAUUAGAGGUAAUUUCACCAUUAUAUAUAUAAAGUGAUAAAAUUUUACAAACACAUCUCUCAACUCCAUGCAACCAAAUAAAUUAUUUAUAAUUGCAGCGGUUUCUACUACAUACAUCUAAACAAAAUAUAUGUAGUUGUAACUGCAUGCAUCUCUAACAACACUGCAUUUCUAAUUACAUUAAACCAAGCGACCCUGAUAUUGGCGGCUUGUUAAACCUAUAUCAUCAGCGCAAACACUUAAGCCCAAGUUAUUAAUACUAUACACACAAAAGCACUAAUAUUAGCAACAUGCUGGGCCCAAACUAUGGGCCUAAAAUACUUAGUCCAAAUUAUUGGUAUUAGAAUACCUAGUCUCCUUAGAUCUUGAUAUUCUUGUCACACAUAGUCAAGGAUCAUCGAGCGAUAUGAUCCUCGACUAUGAUACAAAAUGUAACGAUUCGGCCGACUAGUAUCAGCAAAUUUGUUGGGCCCAAAUCACCGGCCCCCCCAAUGCUUAAGCCAAUAAUAAUGCUUACAAAUUGCCCAAGCCCAACCAACUAAUAAUAGGGAUGCAAAUGAACCCCUAGGUUGAUGGAGCUCCCGCUCCGAUCAGCCUCGAAUGCGAUGGUAGGUGGGGCCAAAAAUAAAAAAUUGCCCUCUCCGAAUCCGCCCUGAUCCGUAAUAAAAUGGAGAGAAAGAGAGAGGUGAAGGAUCCCUUCCUUCCUUGCUUGAUGCAUCCCGAUUCAAUAAAAAUCCACCAAGAACUCGCUUUCGCUCUAACUCAUUCCGAAUGGAGCGGUAGGUAGGAGUCAAAAAUAAAAUAAAAAUUAACUCAUUCAUAAUCUAUAGUAUUCUAGCCCGACUCUAUAUAUAAAAAACAAUAUUAUAUAUAUAUAUAUAUUAUAUAUAUAUAUAUAUAUUAUAUAUAGAGAAGAGAGAGAGAGAGAGAGAGAGAAGAAGAGAGACUAGUCUCCUAUACUAUCUACAGUAUCAGCUCCGGUAUCUAUAGUCCCGUUUCGAUGUUCGGGUGUUCAAAUCAACGAAUCCACACCAUUAAGGCAUUGAUCUAGGAUAUUUAAAGUUUUUAGAAAUAAAAUUUUAUAUUUUUUCGACAUAGUUUACUUUAUGAUCAAAGCAUUUCAAAAUUGUCAAUUUUCAAUGGUUACUAUGGUGAGUUUGGAGUUUAACGGUGUGUUAGAGAGAAUCCAAAUUUCUUCAAAUUUUGAUAGAAAAUAUUUUAAACUUUCUAGAUUAAGGUUACAACUUUCUUGAUCUUGAAUUUAAUGCUCAAAUUUUAAAAUAUUCAAUUUCCACCUUCAUUUUGACAUAUUUAUUUACUUAGUAAACAAUAUCCGAAAAAAUUAAAUUUUAUUCCUAAACUUCAUUAUACCCUAGAUCAUAUUUAACGGUAUGAAUCGUUAAUUUGAACACUCUAAGAUCGAAAACAAAGAUAUAAGUACCGGAGCUCGGUACUAUAGAUAGUAUAGUAGCCUUAUCUAUAUAUACUAUAAUAUAUAUAUAUAUAUAUAUGUAUAUAUAUAUAGAGUGAGUGGAAUACUAUCGUAACAAACAGGGCUCUCGUUGCGCACCCAUUGUUUUCGCAUUGAUGGAGCCUCCAAAUCGACAUCUGGCGACUGUUGAAAAUGAUACAUAUACCACUUGGAGAUAUCUAGAAAUCAAAUUUCAUACUGUUUCAUAAUAUUGUUUUCUUGCCUGCUCAUCAAGUGGGCGUAAAAAUGAAUGGCUGAAAAUGAAUAUCAUCUAAAAAGUGAUGAUAGAAUUUUGUAAUCAUGAUCGAGAGUAUAGAUCUUGUUCUAAAUAGUUUAAAGAAUUUUCUAACCAAAAUUCAAUUGAUUUGGAUAGCUUUAUACCGUUAAACGAGAAAACCCCUCACAUCAACCAUUAAAAUUACUAAUUUUAAAACCUUUUGAUCAUUAGGUAAAUGAUGUCGAAAAGAUUUGAAAUUUAAUUUCUAAAUACUUCAAGUGAUAUAGAUCAUGUUCAAUGGUGCCGAUCGUCGAUUUGAAAGCUCCAUCAUCGAAAACAAAUGGGUGGCAACGGAGCCCGUUUGCUACUGAUAGCAUUCCAGCUCAACUCUAUAUAUAUAUAUAUAUAUAUAUAUAUAUAUAUAGUUGAACUAGAAUACUCUCAAAAGCACCAUGAAAGUGGUGCUUUUGAGUUUUUAGCCAUUGGAUGGAGAGAUGUGAGGUUGAGAUGAUAGUGGUAGGUGGUGGUAGGUGAUGGUAGGUGGAAUAAUGUUUGAUCUAAGGGCUAUUAGUAAUUAAGGAGUAGAUCCAAGAGUUAGAAACCUAGAAGCACCAAAAGGGUGAUACUUCUAAAAGUAUUCUAGCCUAUAUAUAUAUAUAUAUAUAUAUAGAGUGGGCUGGUAUGCUUUCGUAAGCACGGAGGCCUCCGUGCUUACGAUUUGUUUUCGAUGUUCGGACUUUCGAAUCGACGAUCGGCUCCGUUAGAGUUGAUCUAGAGUAUUUAAAGUACCAAGAAAUUAAAUUUUGCGAUUUUUCGAUAUCAUUUGCCUAGUGAUCGAAGGGGCUCAAAAUCAAUAAUUUUAACGACCGUGGUGAGCCGGUUGCAAGUUUAACGGUGUAGAAAUAUCCAAAUCACGUGAAAUUUUGAUAGAAAAUUCUUUAUACCAUAUAAAACAAGAUCAAUAACUUUGAUCUAAAAUUUUAAUGUCAUAUCAUCAUAUUUUGUGAGAUUUUUAUUUUCAGCCGUUGAUUUUGAGCCACUUCGAUCACUCGGCAAAUGAUAUCGAAAAAUCGCAAAAUUUAUUUUCUAGAUACUUCAAAUACUCUAGAUCAAGUCUAACGGAGCCGAUCGUCGAUUUGAAAGUCCCAACAUCGAAAACAAAGUGGAAGCACGGAGCGCUCCGCUCCGUGCUUCCGAAAGCAACCCAGACGCACUCUAUAUAUAU
Molecule: long non-coding RNA, 41955 nt
Filed under: Ananas comosus (pineapple)
Lineage: Eukaryota; Viridiplantae; Streptophyta; Magnoliopsida; Poales; Bromeliaceae
Description: long non-coding RNA (ACOM_LNC026477)
Source: RNAcentral